This 415-nucleotide long non-coding RNA is filed under the name Elaeis guineensis (African oil palm). Its description in RNAcentral is "long non-coding RNA (EGUI_LNC059129)". Lineage: Eukaryota; Viridiplantae; Streptophyta; Magnoliopsida; Arecales; Arecaceae. The record is from RNAcentral.
GGUGGUAGUCGAGGAGGUUCGUGAGACUCAAACUAGGAUUGGUAGCCGAAGGUGGCUGAUGUAUUGGCAAUAAUUAUAGGAGUCGACAAGGAGAGUCGACUGGUAUCUAGUUGGUAAGAUUAAAUAGAUCUAACUAUCUAGCCUAUUGAUUGAAGAUGAUCUAGCUUGAUGCGGGUCAACUCAAGUGUGAAGCCCUUGUGCCUAGUGGAUAAAGGUUAAUAAACCCUGCCUCCCAAUGGACAUUUAUCUUUUGAAAAGUUGGUUAGGGGCUAUGGUCCUAACAUGUGGUAUCAGAGCGAGGUUACAGGUUUGAAACCCAGCAGGCCCCCAGAGCGUUAAAAAAAAUAUUAUUGGGGAGAGAAAUUGUUGUGCAAGGUUCCAAUGUACAUUUGGUGAGACCUAGGGAGAGGAUGGU